AUCAUUAUCGUGGGGCUUAACCGCCCUGUCGAGAUAGUACCCUUGCCUUUUUGAGUACCCCCGUUUCCUCGGCAGGCUUGCCUGCCAAUGAGGACCUAAACCUAAACAAUUGUACCUGUAACUACGUCUGAUAAACAAAAAGUCACAACUUUCAACAAUGGAUCUCUUGGUUCUGGCAUCGAUGAAGAACGCAGCGAAAUGCGAUAAGUAGUGUGAAUUGCAGAAAUUCCGUGAAUCAUCGAAUCUUUGAACGCACAUUGCGCCCUUUGGUAUUCCUUAGGGCAUGCCUGUUCGAGCGUCAUCUACACCCUCAAGCUCUGCUUGGUGUUGGGUGCCUGUCCCGCCUCCGCGUGUGGACUCACCUCAAAACUAUUGGCGGCCCCUGUGCCGGCCCCGAGCGCAGCAGAAACGCGGUUCGUGGCCUGGUGAAGGGUGCUCCCAGAAGCAACAUUUACCGUUUUGACCUCGAAUCAGGUAGGGAUACCCGCUGAACUUAAGCAUAUCAAUAAGCGGAGGAAAAGAAACCAACAGGGAUUGCCUCAGUAACGGCGAGUGAAGCGGCAAGAGCUCAAAUUUGAAAUCUGGCUCCUUUGGGGUCCGAGUUGUAAUUUACAGAGGGUGCUUUGGCGUUGGCUGUGGUCUAAGUUCCUUGGAACAGGACGUCGCAGAGGGUGAGAAUCCCGUAUGUGGCCGCCAGCCUUCGCCGUGUAAAGCCCCUUCGAAGAGUCGAGUUGUUUGGGAAUGCAGCUCUAAUUGGGAGGUAAAUUUCUUCUAAAGCUAAAUACUGGCCAGAGACCGAUAGCGCACAAGUAGAGUGAUCGAAAGAUGAAAAGCACUUUGGAAAGAGAGUCAAAAAGCACGUGAAAUUGUUGAAAGGGAAGCGCUUGCAGCCAGACUUGCCUGUAGUUGCUCAUCCGGGCUCACGCCUGGUGCACUCUUCUACAGGCAGGCCAGCAUCAGCCCGGGCGGUCGCAUAAAUGUCUAUCAAAUGUACCUCUCUUCGGGGAGGACUUAUAGGGGUAGGCGGCAUACGACCAGCCUGGGCUGAGGUCCGCG
RNAcentral lists this ribosomal RNA (1056 nucleotides) under fungal endophyte. RNAcentral describes it as "eukaryotic LSU rRNA". The stretch from base 461 to 1056 matches the Rfam family "Eukaryotic large subunit ribosomal RNA", at positions 1 to 601 of the family's 3401-position model. Lineage: Eukaryota; Fungi. The record is from RNAcentral.